This 503-nucleotide ribosomal RNA is filed under the name uncultured bacterium. RNAcentral describes it as "bacterial SSU rRNA". It matches the Rfam family "Bacterial small subunit ribosomal RNA", at positions 899 to 1397 of the family's 1533-position model. The record is from RNAcentral.
ACUCAAAGGAAUAGACGGGGACCCGCACAAGCGGUGGAGCAUGUGGUUUAAUUCGAAGCAACGCGAAGAACCUUACCUAAACUUGACAUCCCGGAGACCGGGACUUAAUCGUCCCUUUCCUAGCUUGCUAGGACUACGGUGACAGGUGGUGCAUGGUUGUCGUCAGCUCGUGUCGUGAGAUGUUGGGUUAAGUCCCGCAACGAGCGCAACCCUUAUCUUUAGUAGCCAUCAUUUAGUUGGGCACUCUAGAGAGACUGCCAAGGAUAACUUGGAGGAAGGUGGGGAUGACGUCAAAUCAUCAUGCCCCUUAUGUUUAGGGCUACACACGUGCUACAAUGGCUGCUACAAAGGGAAGCAAAAUCGCAAGACGUAGCAAACCUCAAAAAAGCAGUCCCAGUUCGGAUUGUAGUCUGCAACUCGACUACAUGAAGUUGGAAUCGCUAGUAAUCGCGAAUCAGAAUGUCGCGGUGAAUACGUUCCCGGGUCUUGCACACACCGCCCGU